AACGGGAGGGGCAGGCGUUAUUCAUCUUUACUGGGCGUAAAGGGUGUGUAGGCUGUUUUUUAUUUUUUCGUGAAAAUGCUGUGAAACUUGACUUAAAAUUAAAACUAGAGUAUUUUAGAAGAUAUGGGUACUCAGAGUGUAGAGGUGAAAUUCGGAGAAACUUACGAGGACCACCAAUGGCGAAAGCACAUAUCUAUAUUAUACUGACGCUGAUACACUACAGCAUGGGUAUCAAACAGG
This 240-nucleotide ribosomal RNA is filed under the name uncultured bacterium. Its description in RNAcentral is "partial 16S ribosomal RNA". It matches the Rfam family "Bacterial small subunit ribosomal RNA", at positions 524 to 776 of the family's 1533-position model. The record is from RNAcentral.